Molecule: ribosomal RNA, 521 nt
Filed under: uncultured bacterium
Lineage: Bacteria
Description: bacterial SSU rRNA
Rfam family: Bacterial small subunit ribosomal RNA
Source: RNAcentral
UUGUCCGGGGCGAUUGAGUUCUGGGUGACACAGCGAAAGCGUUAAGCAUUCCACCUGGGGAGUACGCCGGCAACGGUGAAACUCAAAGGAAUUGACGGGGGCCCGCACAAGCGGAGGAACAUGUGGUUUAAUUCGAUGAUACGCGAGGAACCUUACCCGGGCUCAAACGCAGGAGGGAUGUUUUUGAAAGGAGGCAGCCAGCAAUGGUCUCCUGCGAGGUGCUGCAUGGUUGUCGUCAGCUCGUGCCGUGAGGUGUCGGCUUAAGUGCCAUAACGAGCGCAACCCCUACCUACAGUUGCCAUCGCGUGAUGGCGGGCACUCUGUGGGGACUGCCUGCGCAAGCAGUGAGGAAGGCGGGGAUGACGUCAAAUCAGCACGGCCCUUACGUCCGGGGUGACACACGUGUUACAAUGGCAGGUACAGCGGGAAGCCACCCGGCGACGGGGCGCGGAACCCGAAAACCUGUCUCAGUUCGGAUUGGAGUCUGCAACCCGACUCCAUGAAGCUGGAUUCGCUAGUAA